GUAAUUGUAAUAUGUUAUCUGUUACUUCCGUCGCCGGAAUCGCGAUCUGCUUCUUCCGCGUUCUGCUACUUUCGACGUCGGAAUCGCAAUCCGCGAUCUUUCGCAUAUCCGCGACAGAUUCUUCACAAUCUUCCGCGACCUUCCGCGAGAUCUUCUUCCGUAGCAGAUCCGCUACUUCUGCGAUCUUCUUCCGCAACAGAUCUUCCGCAACAGUCGUGAUCUUCCGCAACAGAUUCCGACUUCAGACUUUGACUUCCGCAAAUACACAAUCUUCCGCAACAGAUUCUGCAAAUUUGCAUUCCACAACAGAUUCUGCAAAUACGCGAUCUUCCGACUUCGUUCUUCCGUGAUUUCAAGUCUUCCGCAAAAUCAAUUUUUCUUUUCUUUUCUUUUCAAGUCUCCCGUGAUUUCAAGUCUUGCGAUUUCAAGUCUGACUUCUGCGAUUUCAAAUACUGACUUCUGCGAUUUCAAGUCUUGCGAUUUCAUACAUACAUCAUUUCGACUUCCGCAAUCUGUCUUCCGACUGCAAUCGCAAUCCGCGUUCUUCCGUCAUUUCGUUCUUCCAUGUUCUUCCGUCUGCCAACUUCCGCAAGAGCGAGUCUUCCGUCUUCCGGGGACUGCCGACGUCAGAUUUCAGACUUCCGCAAGAUAGAGUCUUCCGGCUUCUGACUUCUUCCGUCUUCCGAUUUUAGACUUCCGAUUCAACUUCUGAUUUUGAUUUUCCCAAGUCUUCCGAUUCUUGCGAUUCAACUCCCGAUUUCAUACUUCUGCAAUAGACUUCGACUUCUCAGUGCUUACUGCAAUUGUUCCAGGAACAGCUCAAUUCAAACCCGUCAAGAUUAAGUACCACCCAAAAACUCACCAACGAUAACUUCUUCACAUGUCAGGCACAAAUCAAAACUCUUCUAAAGGGAUAUGAUCUCCUGUCAUACAUGGAUGGAUCGAUCGUGCUGGAUAAUGAUCCUAAAAUUCAGUAAGACCAAUUGCUUUUGGAGUGGAUCUUCUCCACACUUCACACCGACGUCCUAGCACAAAUCCCAAGCGUCGAAACUUCUGCCGAAGCUUGGAAACAACUGCAACAGUUGCAUGCGUCAUCUUCAGGGUCAAGGGUGUUGCAGAUCCGGCAACAACUUCAAACAAUAAAAAAGGGUGAUCUAUUAAUCGAUGCCUAUUUAAUCAAAAUCAUAAGGUUAGUGGAUGGAUACCUUGAGGACUGCCGGAGUAAGUGUUUAAACAGGAGAAGUCAUAUUAUAUAUUCUUGGGGGAUUGGAUACUGACUAUGAAGCUAUAGUUGCCGUAAUUUUAUCUCAAUUAGAGACAAUGAAUCUGCCAACGGUACGCACACUUCUAACAAAUCAGGAAAUUCGAAACUCAAAGGUUAGGAACUCUCAAACAACUUUUUCAAUUAAUGCAAUCAACCAUAAUUCUAAACGAGACCGAGAGACGAGACCGGUAUGUCAAAUAUGUGGCAAACGUGGACACAUCGCAAUUGCAUGUCACAACAGAUACAACGAAACUCUUUAUCCAACACCUCUGGAGCAUAGAGCACGCCAGAAGGCUCAGAUGAACAAAACUAUGCAAAAGGCAACUCCGGCAGAAAUUAAUGCACUCUGGAAUCCAGAUUCUGCAGCUACGGGGCAUGUCUCUACGUAAAUCUUUAUAAAUCUGAUGGUGCAGGUAAUCAUCAGUAUGUUCAUCUACAUAAAUCUUUUUCGAACCAUCCGGGUAUAGUGGUUGCAGAUGGUGCAGCAGUGCCAGUUGAAGGAGUUGGAGAUUCAAUCUUCUCCAAAAAUAAUUAUAAUAUUCAUGUUAAUGAUAUUUCUGUGGUUCCAUCGAUAGCAAGAAAUUUGCUAUCAGUCUACAAGCUUUGCAAUGACAACAACUUCGGAAUAUGGUUUGACAAAUCAUGUGUAUGUCUAUUGGACUUGCAGACUGAAAAAUUAGUAGCAAAAGGCAGAGCUGCGAAUGGAAUGUACGAGCUAAAUCUGGACGAUGCGAGAGCGACAACGGAGGUCAACAGAAUAAAAUCUGUCUCAAUGGAUUUAUGGCAUUAUCGCUUAGGCCAUAUUUCAUCAAAAACAACUUUGGACAUUGUUAAACUUUUUAAACUUCCUGUGAAUUCAGUAAAUAAAGAUCUUAAUUGUCGUUUAUGUGUAAUGGCCAAACAUCAUCGUCUUCCUUCAUAUACACGUCCGAAAAAUUCUG
RNAcentral lists this long non-coding RNA (2205 nucleotides) under Zostera marina. RNAcentral describes it as "long non-coding RNA (ZMAR_LNC000111)". Lineage: Eukaryota; Viridiplantae; Streptophyta; Magnoliopsida; Alismatales; Zosteraceae. The record is from RNAcentral.